GUGAGGGUUCCCGAGUGGCCAAAGGGGCAGGACUUAAGAUCCUGUGGCUUAGUGCCUUCGUAGGUUCGAAUCCUACCCCUCACA
Molecule: transfer RNA, 84 nt
Filed under: Candidatus Pacearchaeota archaeon
Lineage: Archaea; Nanobdellati
Description: tRNA-Leu
Rfam family: tRNA
About the family: Transfer RNA (tRNA) molecules are approximately 80 nucleotides in length. Their secondary structure includes four short double-helical elements and three loops (D, anti-codon, and T loops). Further hydrogen bonds mediate the characteristic L-shaped molecular structure. tRNAs have two regions of fundamental functional importance: the anti-codon, which is responsible for specific mRNA codon recognition, and the 3' end, to which the tRNAs corresponding amino acid is attached (by aminoacyl-tRNA synthetases). tRNAs cope with the degeneracy of the genetic code in two manners: having more than one tRNA (with a specific anti-codon) for a particular amino acid; and 'wobble' base-pairing, i.e. permitting non-standard base-pairing at the 3rd anti-codon position.
Source: RNAcentral